UUUAUUUGAAUUUUUUUACAGCAAUGACGGCUUGUGGAGCCUCUCAAUAGUUCCCAGAAGUAGCAGCAAACCGAUGCCGCGCCGUAGAGAUGCAGCAGAACAAACCGUUUGCGACGCACUUUUAAAAGACCCAGGUAACUGGCUGAUGGUUCACUGGAAUGCUGACUGGCUGCUGACUGACUGGGUAGUGUCACCUGUCCCUGUCUCUCCUCUCUAGCCAUGUCCUCUAUUUCUUCACUGUCACUUUCCCUUCUCUGAGUGUCCUCAUUCUUUUUUUCCUCAACCUUUGAAACUGAUAGAGGCAGAAUACAUGGCAUUGCUAAUUUUAAAUAUUGAAAAUUUCACAUCACUUCAAAAUUAGAAAUAUUACUUCAACUAGUACGAGUUUGUACUUAUUAUAUAUGUAUUACCUGUAAUACUAUAGCUGUGAUCAGCAGCGAUUUGCUGUAUGUUUACAGGUCUGGGGGUGCAUCGUGGAGCAGGGGCCCUCCUCUUUUUGACCACAGGAUGAUGCACAAAGAUUGUGGAAAUAGCAUCUGGUCUCAGCCUACUCUUGAAUUUUUUGGUCAUGACAAAUUGGUUUGCCUCAAAAUGUGCCUGCAGAGUGACUUGAGUUUAGUUUCCACACACAACUUUUUUUUUUUUUUUUUUUUUUGUCUACCCACAUACGGUACAUAUCACAUGGUGGUUAAAUUCACAGUCAUAGGUAACACUGAUGACUCCCUGCAAUGUCUCACCAUGAGUCUCAGCUCCCUGGGUUUUGCAAGGCUUUGCUUGUUCCUUAUUUCUAGUAAAUAAUUUUCCAUGUAAAAAAGUACAAAUAAAUUUAAGUAUAAUUACCUCACAAAUUUUUUUGUUGUUGUAAUUUUUAUUUAUAUUUAGAUUGCUCCUGCUGACUUGAGCCAACCAUUUUUUUCUCCUCUCCAUGUCAGCAGGGAAGCCAUACAUCUGCACACAUUUCUCUGACCGAGUGGAGCAUCCCCAUGCAGCACAGCAAACCAUGGUGGAGACUAUGCAAGGACAACAUGAAAGAAAGGACACAUACAAAAUGCUUGGCAUGCUAUUCAAUUUAUUAGAAAUGUAUUCAUGAAUUGCUAUAAAUAGUUAAUU
Molecule: long non-coding RNA, 1110 nt
Organism: Cyprinus carpio carpio
Lineage: Eukaryota; Metazoa; Chordata; Actinopteri; Cypriniformes; Cyprinidae
Source: Ensembl